CCCCUCUCAGGAUUGCACCUGGAGAGUUUCCAGUACUCUAUCAGUCUCAGCUAUGGGAGGGAGAGUCAAACAGAGGCCUGCCCACUCCAUUCCUAGCUUGCCCAGUGGCUAGUGUGUGGAACACAAUCUGCUACAAGU
This 138-nucleotide small nucleolar RNA is filed under the name Ornithorhynchus anatinus (platypus). The record is from RNAcentral. Lineage: Eukaryota; Metazoa; Chordata; Mammalia; Monotremata; Ornithorhynchidae.